RNAcentral lists this ribosomal RNA (645 nucleotides) under Trochalus sp. 835135. RNAcentral describes it as "eukaryotic LSU rRNA". It matches the Rfam family "Eukaryotic large subunit ribosomal RNA", at positions 663 to 1265 of the family's 3401-position model. The record is from RNAcentral. Lineage: Eukaryota; Metazoa; Arthropoda; Insecta; Coleoptera; Scarabaeidae.
GGACCAAGGAGUCUAGCAUGUGCGCGAGUCAUUGGGAUAUUGACUAAACCUAAAGGCGCAAUGAAAGUGAAGGUCCGCCUUGCGCGGACCGAGGGAGGAUGGGCGGCCCCAAGGGACCGCCUCGCACUCCCGGGGCGUCUCGUUCUCAUAGCGAGAAGAGGCGCACCCAGAGCGUACACGCUGGGACCCGAAAGAUGGUGAACUAUGCCUGGUCAGGACGAAGUCAGGGGAAACCCUGAUGGAGGUCCGUAGCGAUUCUGACGUGCAAAUCGAUCGUCGGAACUGGGUAUAGGGGCGAAAGACUAAUCGAACCAUCUAGUAGCUGGUUCCCUCCGAAGUUUCCCUCAGGAUAGCUGGCGCUCGCUUCUCGCGAGUCUCAUUCGGUAAAGCGAAUGAUUAGAGGCAUUGGGGUCGAAACGGCCUCAACCUAUUCUCAAACUUUAAAUGGGUGAGAUCUCCGGCUUGCUUGAACUGUGAAGCCGCGAGAUAUCGGAUCAGAGUGCCAAGUGGGCCACUUUUGGUAAGCAGAACUGGCGCUGUGGGAUGAACCAAACGCCGAGUUAAAGCGCCUAAAUCGACGCUUAUGGGAUACCAUGAAAGGCGUUGGUAACUUAAGACAGCAGGACGGUGGCCAUGGAAGUCGGA